Pyrus x bretschneideri (Chinese white pear) is the source of this 2123-nucleotide long non-coding RNA. RefSeq lists it as uncharacterized. The transcript is spliced from 2 exons. The record is from RefSeq and is a predicted model, not a curated record. Lineage: Eukaryota; Viridiplantae; Streptophyta; Magnoliopsida; Rosales; Rosaceae.
CAUUUUUUUAUCCUUCCCGUCCAAGUACCUCUCUGUCUCUCCCUCGUCACUUUUUCUCUCAUCACCAAAUUCCAUUCUUUUCGCCACUUUCUCCCUCAUCAUAAAAUUCCAUUUUUUCUCAUUCAUUCUAAAAAAAACUUCUAGAUUUGUCAUAUGGGUUUUUUGUUUUUUGGAUUUUUCACAAGCUGAAUUUCAUAUGGGUCUCGGCAGAUCGGUAUUUUUUGUCUUCUGGGUUUUGGCUAGCAUUGUGGAGUUUGUCGACGAUGUCGUAGCGGAUGAAGGCAAUGGUCGAGCGAAGAGCGAGAUUGGGAGUUGAGGAAGCCGAGGAUCUGAGUAGAGGAGAAGUGAUGCCUUUCGACAACGAGCUCGACGAUAAAGCUGGGGGCGACACAAAUCUUUAAAGAUCUUUGGUAGAGAUGAAGCUGGGAGGAGCAAAAAGGGGAUGAUAGAGAUGAAGGGAGGGUACGUGUUUGUUCAAUAAAGUUUCACACGUUCUUGUAUAUUGCCAUUUUAGUAUGCCCGUAAAUUUCCUUUUUCUUUUGAUGUUUGGAUGCGAUUGCAGUGCAUCUGUUUGUGGGUAUUAUUUUUUUUUUCUGGGAUUUUUGUGCUUGCUGUGUUUGCAUGGCUCUUGGGUUCAUCUAACUGAUAGGUGGAAAAUUUGAGAUGAAAUGCUUCUGAGUAGGUGGUUUGAAAAUCUGUACUUUUUGUGAUGUUCAUGACUUUUUUGGAUUUCAGAGAUGACAUUUUGUGGUGAUUUAUGUUUAUGUCGUUCUGUUCGAAUCAAUAAUUUGGAUAUAAGGGUAGGAUUGCUAGAAACUUUCAUUAAGGGGUUACUGUUCAUACGUGUUUUGAGGUUUGCGCAGAAGCUGAAAAGCCAGUUUUUCAAAGCUGCCUUUUGCUGCUUCUGUUUUUUGGCUUUUUUUCACCCAAAACUGUGAAAAAAAGCUAAAGCUGGAAGUUUACCAAACACCAAAGACUCUCCCAGCUUUUUUCAUCCCAUUUUUUAAAAUCACCUCAACCCCAAACCAUACCUUAGUCUUAAGCUUUUGAUUUAAAUUUUUUUAGAAUUAUUGUAAUUUUUUUUUUUUAUCUCUGCUGCUGUUUUUGAUUUUUGAUUUUUGAUUUUUUGAUUUUUAUGCGACGUACAUCUGUGUAAGCACUCAAAUUAGUUUUUGGAGUGCAUUUUGAUCAGACCACAACAAAAGAGAAAACGGAAACAAAAUUCAGAGCCAUAAAAACAAACAAAUGCUGGUCUGUCCUAAAAAAGGUUGGUUUGUGUACUUUUGAAGAAUAUAUGGAAAAAGAGAGUAUUGAUCAUGGUGUAGAAUCUGAUGGUAAUGUGGUUGAAAAAGAUAAAAUGUUGCAUGAAAAGAUCUCGGAACUCAUUGACGAAAUAUGCAGCGUGAGCUGAGUUGAUAAGGAGAAACAAGGAGAAGUGUGAAACAAUUGAGUGGCUUUUGUCCCAUGUGCAUAAGCUAACGGAUGAGAACAAAAUUUUGAAAAUUCAUCUGGGAAUCCAUAAGGAUACUACUGAUCAUACAAUUCCAAUCCAUAAGAAUGCUACUGAACAUACAAUUACAAGGCAAAACAAGCCUCAGUUUUCAAGGUCUAAGUCCACGGGGCCAUCUUUCCUUGGAAGGCUCACUGGAUGCACUGGCACCUGAUCUUAAUUAGCAACUUUUCAACUUAAUUAGAAAUGGAACUGAAUGCUUCGUUAUUUUGAUCUUGCAUCUGAAGCCGAGUCUGGAUUAAGAGAAAGAUCUCAUGGCAGGAAUCAUGGACUUGAGGAAGGUGAGGUUAACGAAGUGUGCUUUAGCACCAAGAUUGAGUUUUGUUUUUUUACGAUUUUUCUAUAAUCUAGAUGCUGAAAUACUUGGAGUUGGAAUUAAUAAGAAUCGAUUGAAACAUGGAUUUUUUAUUAGAUUGGUAUGGCUGACAUAGUAGUUUAAGAUGCACUGCAGUGAUUAGGGAAUUUCUUUAACUGAACAUAUUUGUUUUCAUGAGGUAGGUAGAAUCCUCUGUAAUUUAAUUAAUUAGAUUGAAAUUUGGAGCCAUGUCUGGAGUCUUACACUAUGGUGGUUAAUGUGGUUUUUAGGUGAUUUUUUCAAGUGGGGAAAAAGAGG